GGGCGGGUAGCUCAGUUUGGGAGAGCGUCGGAAUCGCACUCCGAAGGCCGCGAGUUCGAGCCUCGUCCCGUCCACCA
Molecule: transfer RNA, 77 nt
Filed under: Candidatus Moduliflexus flocculans
Lineage: Bacteria; Candidatus Moduliflexota; Candidatus Moduliflexia; Candidatus Moduliflexales; Candidatus Moduliflexaceae
Description: tRNA-Ala(cgc)
Rfam family: tRNA
About the family: Transfer RNA (tRNA) molecules are approximately 80 nucleotides in length. Their secondary structure includes four short double-helical elements and three loops (D, anti-codon, and T loops).
Source: RNAcentral